RNAcentral lists this ribosomal RNA (460 nucleotides) under uncultured bacterium. Its description in RNAcentral is "partial 16S ribosomal RNA". It matches the Rfam family "Bacterial small subunit ribosomal RNA", at positions 338 to 795 of the family's 1533-position model. The record is from RNAcentral.
CCUACGGGUGGCAGCAGUGAGGAAUAUUGGUCAAUGGGCGUGAGCCUGAACCAGCCAAGUCGCGUGAAGGAUGACGGCCCUACGGGUUGUAAACUUCUUUUAUAAGGGAAUAAAGUGAGGGACGUGUGCCUUUUUGUAUGUACCUUAUGAAUAAGGAUCGGCUAACUCCGUGCCAGCAGCCGCGGUAAUACGGAGGGUCCGAGCGUUAUCCGGAUUUAUUGGGUUUAAAGGGAGCGUAGGGGGUGUGUUAAGUCCGCUGGGAAAGUGUGGGGCUCAACCGUAGAAUUGCAGUUGAAACUGGCAGGCUUGAGUACGGUUGAGGUAGGCGGAAUGCGUGGUGUAGCGGUGAAAUGCUUAGAUAUCACGAAGAACCCCGAUUGCGAAGGCAGCUUGCUAAGCCGCCACUGACGCUGAUGCACGAAAGCGUGGGUAUCGAACAGGAUUAGAUACCCGUGUAGUC